CCUCCGUGUCGAGUCCCUGUGCUGGCCACGCCCGCCGCCUGCCCAGCACCGCUCUCCCGUUGCCUUAAACAAUCCAGCUCCACCACUAAUCCAUGCCCCUGCCCCGCGACUGAAGAGGAUCAGGUGACAAAUGCAACAAUUUAUUUGAACCAAAUGUGAUUUUUCAAUGGUAAAUGUAGGAUAGUGCCAAUGUUUAUUCUACCUGUGUAUCAUCUUCUGUUUACUUUGACACGUCUAUUGCACAAUAUCCCAUUUCUGAAUAUUAUAUCUCGAUUUCACAUGCAGUUCAUAUAUUGCAUUGUAAUAACACUUUAUUUCUAACUUAUAAAUCGGAAUGUAACAGGUUCGUUGUUAAUCUGUGACAUUCAUUCUAUAUUAAAUAUGAUAUAUCAACUUCAGACAAAGAAGUUCAACCUCCCACCUUAUUUACUUGUUAACGUAUUUUAAUCAAGCUAUCUUAAGUGACUUGUUCCGGCGAGGGUCAAGAACUAUCCUGGACAAUGUCAAAUAUAUAUAGCAAUGCAUGUUUGCCCUAUUCACAUGGAGUAAAAUUUUGCAUAGCAUUACAGUUAUGUUGGAUCCUUCUGAAUUUCAUAGAAGCACAAGCUGCUAGCAUAGCGGUGUGCAGGGGGAGGCCUUGAGCAGACAGGUGACUGCGUUGCUGGGGCGGAUAUGAGGCACAUCUGCAGGCGGCAGACUGUAGGCAAGAGGUACAUGGCAGUGUGGCGAGAUGGUCGGUGGCUUGCUGCUGUUGCGAGUGGGCUACCUACAAGAUGGACAGGAAGAAUAUGGUGCAAGCAAUGGCAAAGGGGAAGGCAGGGAGUGGUAAAGUGAAAGGUAUAUUUCCUUUUGAAUUUCUAUAUUUGUGUACGUUGGCAGGGGAAAACGAUAAAGUGCAACUCUGAUUUUUAUUCCUGUCAGACUUUCAGACUAUGCACACUAGAGUGAUAUUAGUGGUCUUUUCAUGCUGUAAAUUGCAGAUUUGACUAGACACAUCGGCUUAAUUUUUUAUUAUGAUCUUAGUAGUAUUUUCAUGCUGUAAAUUUCAGAUUUGACAAGAUACUUUGGCUUAGUAUACGAGAUAUAGAUGCUCCACACAACAUGUGUAUGGUUGCAUAACUCUUGGCUCUCCUAAAUCAGCCUUCGAUCACAUGAAGGUAUACCUUGGUGCAGGGUAUGUACAUAAACUAGGUGCAAACGUGUAAUCUAUAUGUACUCUUUUCAAUGGCAAUUUGAUAUUUGGCUUUCCAAACUAACCUUGCAAUUUAGUUAGAAACAAUAAAGUUCUUCAGAAAUCCCUUGAAACAUUCUCAAGCAAAAGCAAAUGAAGGGCAUACCAGUUCCUUUUUAAUACGAGCCUCAAACUUGUUGUAUUUUGAAAUCUGAAUAUGUUCCUGUUGUUGCAUCAUUUAGCUAUUCUUUGUUACCUCAUCUAGUAAUGUUUCUUUCGUGGUUUCGCUGAAUUAACAAAAUAGUUUUUAUAGCUUAUUUGUGCAGGUAUAUGCUAAGAUUGUGUGGGCAAUAUGUCUCUUUCAUACUGCUUAUUAAAAUUUGAUGGAUUAUGGUUGGAAUGUGAUGCUUAUCUGCUCAUUUUAUUUUUUUUACAGUUUGUGAUAAGAUCGGAUUUGAGGUGUAUUUAUAACGAUCACAUAAAUGAAAGGCUACAGGAAGAUUUUGGAAAUGGCAAUGGUGUCAACAAAGACAUGAGACAAGAGGUAAACACUCUUCUAUAUGUUACCCUCUACUAUUAGAUUGUACUGUUGAAAUUGAUUUUGCGACCUAAAUAUGGUGAGUAGAAUUUUACUUUAUAUUUGUUUGAUUACAUGUGUUGCACACUGGUUUAUAUGUAUUGCCUCCCCUAUCCAUCUGGGCGAAGAGUUCCGACUUUUGAGAGCGGACAUUGUGCAAAAGUUUGUUCUUUCAUGCUUGCCAUUCAUCCCCGACAGUUGUGACAGGGAUUGCAAUAUUGUAGAUCAGUACAUACGCGAGAGCUGUAUGACAACUUCAUUAUGAAUUGGUCACCUCGAAAUUUGACAAGCUGUUGAGAUAUGUGUAGUAAUUUGUGUAUGCAUUACAGCUUGGACUGGCGGCAUGGACUGAAAAAUCGUCCCAACCAUCUUGGAGACACCCAGGCAGGUGUUGCGAGCUGUGAUGCCCGAGGCACCCGCCGAGAAAAUGGGGUUCGACAUGAUGAUCAAGGAUGCGCAGGGUAUGCUCUUCUAAUUAGUUUGAUGAUUUCCACAUGUAGUAAUGCUACUCUGAAUGUUUUUGCAUAACAAUCUAAAGAUUUUGUAUUGAAACCUUCGUGGUGGUUCUUUCAGUUAAGUUGAGCGGUAGACGUAGUGAUUCUGGUGUGAAGUUUCCCAAAUGCAUUUUCUAAUAGAAAAUUUCUUUUUCCAGAUAUAGACUCUUUUUGCUAAUAAAUAGGCCAAUCUGGAUUCAAAGUUAAAUAAAAUUUGUGGACUUCUGUUGAUAGAUGGAAUUACACACUGAUGGACUGUGGGUUUCUAUUUUUCUUAUAGAAACAGAGAAACCGAAUAUCAUGUUUGCAAGACGGUUAUCAUAUAUUCUAAUUCAGACACAAGUGAUGAUACAACAACGCUCUUCGCCAAAUUCCAAUUCAGUCGAGCGUAUCUUAGCUUGGGAGCAUGCCCGUGCAACAGUUUUUGUCAUCUUCAUGCCCCAUAUAAGUUGCUUCUGUCAUGCAUAGAAGACAAAGACGCCACCGAGAGCAGCGACACGCAUAGUGAGGUCAUUGCCCGUCACGAUUUUUCUUUGAGCUGCCUGGAGACUUGCUUUCAACAGCUAGGAGACAUCCAGUGUUGGUGUAUUCUCCCUUCAUUGCCCUGUUUUUUCAGUGAAAAUCUGAACAUAUGUAGUUGAUUUCCAAUAUUCGAUCGGCCUGCAAUAUUUUUUGACUUAGUUCUUUGUACAUAGUAUGAGCUUGAAUAUUGAAUAAGCAGAUCUAUUAAAUAUAUGAAUAGAAUUUUGUGCAUUAGUUUGUAUGUGCAUUUGCACACAUGCAUAUGAUUAUUCAGGUCAGAUUUGUUACGUGCUCUGUUUGCCACCAAAGUUUGGUGCACCUUCGUAUUUUCAGAUUAUGAUUUGAAGUAUUUUUUGAAUAGUCCUAUUUGUAUUUGGUGGAUUGUAUCUAUAUACUAUAUUAACAGGAGAUGUAACCUCAUUUAUUUUCACAUUAAUAAUAAGUGCCUCUUCAGUAUAUCAAAACAGUCUUUCUCUAUGGGGAGCCUGCAGUUUGUGAUGUUCGUAAUUUUUCUUUGGGCAAAUACACUACAGAAAAAACAUUCUAU
RNAcentral lists this long non-coding RNA (3311 nucleotides) under Triticum aestivum (bread wheat). RNAcentral describes it as "long non-coding RNA (TAES_LNC012316)". Lineage: Eukaryota; Viridiplantae; Streptophyta; Magnoliopsida; Poales; Poaceae. The record is from RNAcentral.